UCUAGCAUGUGCGCGAGUCAUUGGGACUCUAACUAAACCUAAAGGCGCAAUGAAAGUGAAGGUCCGCCGUGCGCGGACCGAGGGAGGAUGGACGGUCCCGAGGGACCGUCCCGCACUCCCGGGGCGUCUCGUUCUCAAUUACGAGAAGAGGCGCACCCAGAGCGUACACGCUGGGACCCGAAAGAUGGUGAACUAUGCCUGGUCAGGACGAAGUCAGGGGAAACCCUGAUGGAGGUCCGUAGCGAUUCUGACGUGCAAAUCGAUCGUCGGAACUGGGUAUAGGGGCGAAAGACUAAUCGAACCAUCUAGUAGCUGGUUCCCUCCGAAGUUUCCCUCAGGAUAGCUGGCGCUCGCUUCUCGCGAGUCUCAUUCGGUAAAGCGAAUGAUUAGAGGCAUUGGGGUCGAAACGGCCUCAACCUAUUCUCAAACUUUAAAUGGGUGAGAUCUCCGGCUUGCUUGAACUGUGAAGCCGCGAGAUAUCGGAUCAGAGUGCCAAGUGGGCCACUUUUGGUAAGCAGAACUGGCGCUGUGGGAUGAACCAAACGCCGAGUUAAAGCGCCUAAAUCGACGCUUAUGGGAUACCAUGAAAGGCGUUGGUAACUUAAGACAGCAGGACGGUGGCCAUGGAAGUCGGA
Molecule: ribosomal RNA, 635 nt
Filed under: Empecamenta sp. 835126
Lineage: Eukaryota; Metazoa; Arthropoda; Insecta; Coleoptera; Scarabaeidae
Description: eukaryotic LSU rRNA
Rfam family: Eukaryotic large subunit ribosomal RNA
Source: RNAcentral